RNAcentral lists this ribosomal RNA (495 nucleotides) under uncultured bacterium. RNAcentral describes it as "partial 16S ribosomal RNA". It matches the Rfam family "Bacterial small subunit ribosomal RNA", at positions 28 to 507 of the family's 1533-position model. The record is from RNAcentral.
GACGAACGCUGGCGGCGCGCUUAACACAUGCAAGUCGAACGGAAAGGCCUGCUUUCCCUUGUGGAUUGCGGGUACUCGAGUGGCGAACGGGUGAGUAACACGUGAGUGAUCUGCCCCCAACUUGGGUAUAAGCCUGGGAAACUGGGUCUAAUUCCCGAUAGGACUGCAGGGUGGUGCCUGUGGUGGAAAACGAUUUUCUAGUGGUUGGGGAUGAGCUCGCGGCCUAUCAGCUUGUUGGUGGGGUAAUGGCCUACCAAGGCGGCGACGGGUAGCCGGCCUGGGGGGGGGGGAGGCCCACAUUGGGCCGGGGAACCGGCCCAGACUCCACGGGAGGGCGGAAGUGGGGAGAAUGCACAAAGGGGGGGAGCCUGAUGCAGCGAAGGCGGGGGGGGGAUGGCCGGCUUCGGGGUGUAAACUCCUUUCGGCCGGGAGGAAGCCCCCUGGUUGGAAGGGGUGGUGACGGUAGUGGUAGAAGAAGCACCGGCUAACUACGUG